Molecule: ribosomal RNA, 509 nt
Filed under: uncultured bacterium
Lineage: Bacteria
Description: bacterial SSU rRNA
Rfam family: Bacterial small subunit ribosomal RNA
Source: RNAcentral
GACGAACGCUGGCGGCGUGGAUUAGGCAUGCAAGUCGAACGGUAUCAUCCUUUCGGGGGUGAGAGAGUGGCGAACUGGUGAGUAACACGUAGGUUAUCUACCCUCAAGACGGGGACAACCCAGGGAAACUUGGGCUAAUACCGGAUGUGAGCAACUUUUAGUUGUUUGAAAGGUGGCGUAAGCUGUCGCUUGGGGAUGAGCCUGCGUCCUAUUAGUUAGUUGGUGAGGUAACGGCUCACCUAGGCAAUGAUAGAUAGGCGGCCUUAACGGGUGGUCGCCCACACUGGGAUUGAGAUACGGCCCAGACUCCUACGGGAGGCAGCAGUCGAGAAUAGUCUACAAUGGCCGGAAGGCUGAUAGUGCGACGCCGCGUGAACGAGGGAGCCCUUCGGGGUGUAAAGUUCUUUUCUAUACGAGCAGUGCUAUAUAUAUGGAUAGUAUAUAUAGAGGGAUAGUAGUAUAGGAAUAAGCAACGGCUAACUCCGUGCCAGCAGCCGCGGUAAACUCGU